CCCGUUUUACAACGGUCGUAUAGGUGACGGUUAUACAAACCGAUAGGAAUACUUUAAACGACUAUUUUAAAAACGUCGGGAAAACCCAUUUUUGUAGUAGUGAGAAUUCUUAGUUUAUGAAAAAUUAUUGGGUGACUUUUUUUUUAAUGUUUUCUAUUCAAAACUAAUAGUUUUUUUUUUUUUUGGCUAAGGUUAACGGGGUUAAAUCCCCAAAUUAACUUUAACAGAAUAUACUAUUAAUUAACAAAAUAUUCUUUAACCCUUGAAUAUAAAUUAACAAAUAUGUAAAUUCAAAAUAAUUAUAAUCUUAUUUUAAAAAUAAAGAAAUAAAUAUUAUAAUUAUAAUCUCAUCUCUCGAUCCACCUUUCUCUCUCCUCUGUUUCUUCUUUUCUCUCAUCCGGCCUCCGUCUCAUGAAUCGCAUUAUUUUGAAUAUUAUAAUUAUAAUCUCAUUUUUUUUUUAUGCUUGAAUCAAUGUUUGAGAUCAUUAGCAAGGAUUUCACAUUUGUUUCCGUUUCAGAAAUUUUGGUACUCCUCCAAACUCCAAUAGUCUUGAAUGGUUUCAAAUACCUAGCUGGAUCAUGCCUGGCUGGAUUCCAUGAGCAGAGCCAUUGAAGAAUUCAUUCGUCAAGAGUAUAUAUAUAAUCAGAAGUCGGUCAAGAGAGCUAGGAAGCUUCGUCAUCAGCGAUCAACAAUGAGGGGUGUGAUAGCUGUUAUAAUGAGCGCAAAUUAUGUUAUUUUUAAAUUAUUUCUAUAAUUAUUAUAUAAUCUGUUUCUUAAAUUAUUUUGUAGUUGUGUUUAUUAUUAUUAA
Molecule: long non-coding RNA, 809 nt
Organism: Cannabis sativa
Lineage: Eukaryota; Viridiplantae; Streptophyta; Magnoliopsida; Rosales; Cannabaceae
Exons: 3
Source: RefSeq, a predicted model, not a curated record